CGAUCGCACUCCGGUUGAUCCUGCCGGAGGCUACUGCUAUUGGGAUUCGACUAAGCCAUGCGAGUCAAGGUGUCUUCGGACGCCGGCAUACGGCUCAGUAACACGUAGGUAACCUACCCUUAGGACUGGCAUAACCCCGGGAAACUGGGGCUAAUACCAGAUAGAUAAAAGAUACUGGAAUGUUCUUUUAUCCAAAGCUUUUGUGCCUAAGGAUGGGCCUGCGCCCGAUUAGGUUGUUGGUGGGGUAAUGGCCCACCAAGCCUGCGAUCGGUACGGGCAGUGGGAGCUGUAGCCCGGAGUUGGGGACUGAGACAAGGCCCCAGGCCCUACGGGGCGCAGCAGGCGCGAAACCUCUGCAAUGCGGGAAACCGUGACAGGGGGAUCCCAAGUGCUCAUGCAUUGCAUGGGCUGUUCUUUGGUCUAAGUAACCAGAGGAGUAAGGGCUGGGCAAGACCGGUGCCAGCCGCCGCGGUAAUACCGGCAGCUCGAGUGGUAGCCGCGAUUAUUGGGCCUAAAGCGUUCGUAGCCGGAUAAGUAAGUCUUUGGUUAAAUCCUGCGACUUAACCGUGGGAAAUCUAGAGAUACUGCUUGUCUUGAGACCGGGAGAGGUUGGAGGUACUCCUAGGGUAGGGGUGAAAUCCUGUAAUCCUAGGGGGACCACCUGUGGCGAA
This 671-nucleotide ribosomal RNA is filed under the name bacterium. RNAcentral's name for it is "bacterial SSU rRNA". It matches the Rfam family "Archaeal small subunit ribosomal RNA", at positions 1 to 670 of the family's 1478-position model. The record is from RNAcentral.